RNAcentral lists this transfer RNA (73 nucleotides) under Paramuricea clavata. It matches the Rfam family "tRNA". From Rfam's summary of the family: Transfer RNA (tRNA) molecules are approximately 80 nucleotides in length. Their secondary structure includes four short double-helical elements and three loops (D, anti-codon, and T loops). Further hydrogen bonds mediate the characteristic L-shaped molecular structure. tRNAs have two regions of fundamental functional importance: the anti-codon, which is responsible for specific mRNA codon recognition, and the 3' end, to which the tRNAs corresponding amino acid is attached (by aminoacyl-tRNA synthetases). tRNAs cope with the degeneracy of the genetic code in two manners: having more than one tRNA (with a specific anti-codon) for a particular amino acid; and 'wobble' base-pairing, i.e. permitting non-standard base-pairing at the 3rd anti-codon position. The record is from Rfam by way of RNAcentral. Lineage: Eukaryota; Metazoa; Cnidaria; Anthozoa; Malacalcyonacea; Plexauridae.
GCCCGGUUAGCUCAGUUGGUAGAGCAUCAGACUUUUAACGUGAGGGGCAUGGUUUCCAGUCCCAUAUCGGGCU